This 28-nucleotide non-coding RNA is filed under the name Cricetulus griseus (Chinese hamster). Lineage: Eukaryota; Metazoa; Chordata; Mammalia; Rodentia; Cricetidae. The record is from RNAcentral.
AAUGGGUUUAAACUUGCUGAAUGUAGAG